UUGAUACCCAACUGUGCUCGAAGUCCAGCGGGUCCUCUCCAGGUCCUCUGCGCGUUACUGUUCUUGGUGCUGUAACCUCCUCAGCCUGCCAAGACAGCGAUGCAAGCGGCCAAGAGGGUGAUUCGCCUUCCACCCGAAGUAAAUUGGAUUUUGUAUAUAAGAAAUUUGCCAGGGCUGGGAAGAAAUUUGCCAUACAAAAUCAUAGCUGAAGACAUGUAUGAUAUCUUUGGGAAAUAUGGACCUAUUCGUCAAAUCAGAGUGGGAAACACACCUGAAACUAGAGGAACAGCUUAUGUAGUCUAUGAAGACAUUUUUGAUGCCAAGAAUGCAUGUGAGCACCUGUCAGGAUUCAGCGUUUGUCACAGAUAUCUUAUGGCUUUGUGCUAUAAUGCAACAGGGCAUUUCAGAAGAUGGACACCAAGAAAAAGGAGGAGCAGGUGAAGCUUCUCAAGGAGAAACAUGGCAGCAACACAGAUCCACCAGAAUAAAGGUUUCUCACAUUUUCAUUUUAGACUAAACCUAUGAGUAACCACCACUACCAUUUUU
RNA transcript from Dipodomys ordii (Ord's kangaroo rat), 546 nucleotides. It is a transcript of the gene named splicing factor 3B subunit 6-like, with no coding region annotated. Lineage: Eukaryota; Metazoa; Chordata; Mammalia; Rodentia; Heteromyidae. The transcript has 2 exons. The record is from RefSeq and is a predicted model, not a curated record.